Molecule: long non-coding RNA, 397 nt
Filed under: Rattus norvegicus (Norway rat)
Lineage: Eukaryota; Metazoa; Chordata; Mammalia; Rodentia; Muridae
Description: long non-coding RNA NONRATT030174
Source: RNAcentral
CAUGGGCAUGCCUUUAUCUUGCUCUACCUCCCCCAGAACCACAAGAUUGCCCUCCCAUUGCAUCUGUCCUGGUGCAGGUGUCGGGCACUGCAGUGAGUACUGUGUUCCCUUUACACAGUUGGAGAAACAAAGGCUUAGACAGAUGGAGUCAUGGACCCAUAGAUCUAAAUGAGAGCUGUUUGACUGUAGAGCCUAUGUUGUGCUAAAGCUAAGUAUCUUUCCUGGUUGCCUUCUAGUAAUUAAGAGUGUUUGGAACUCUCAAGGAAGCAGAAUUAAUACAUUGCUUACAUCAUCUCAUUUGACAAUCAUUGUGACAGUCCUCUUGGAUAAGGACUGUGUGUGUGUGUGUGUGUGUGUGUGUGUGUGUGUUUGUGUGUGUGCAUGCAUAUGUGUGUGC